This 621-nucleotide ribosomal RNA is filed under the name Corynebacterium sp. HMSC05D08. RNAcentral's name for it is "bacterial LSU rRNA". It matches the Rfam family "Bacterial large subunit ribosomal RNA", at positions 1 to 582 of the family's 2925-position model. Lineage: Bacteria; Bacillati; Actinomycetota; Actinomycetes; Mycobacteriales; Corynebacteriaceae. The record is from RNAcentral.
UGUUCGUUAUUUAGGGCGCAUGGUGGAUGCCUUGGCAUGCUGAGCCGAUGAAGGACGUGAAAGGCUGCGUUAAGCCUCGGGGAGUUGUCAAUUGAGCGUUGAUCCGAGGAUGUCCGAAUGGGGAAACCUGGCACCUGUUAUGGGGUGUUACCCUUCAGUGAAUUCAUAGCUGUUGUGGGGGUUACGCGGGGAAGUGAAACAUCUCAGUACCCGUAGGAGAAGAAAAUAAUAAUGAUUCUGCUAGUAGUGGCGAACGAACGUGGAUGAGGCUAAACCGUGUGCAUGUGAUACCUGGUAGGGGUUGUGUGUGCGGUGUUGUGGGCCCUGAUGAGGAUGGCUACUGACGUCCUGCCCGCGCAUUGUUGUUAGGUGAAGUGGUGUGGAAACGCCUGCCGUAGAAGGUGAUAGUCCUGUAGCUGAAGAUGAUGGUGUGUGGGUUGUUGGGUUGCCCGAGUAGCAGCGGGCUCGUGGAAUCUGCUGUGAAUCUGCCGGGACCACCCGGUAAGCCUAAAUACUCAGUGUGACCGAUAGUGGAUAGUACCGUGAGGGAAUGGUGAAAAGUACCCCGGGAGGGGAGUGAAAUAGUUCCUGAAACCAUGUGCUUACAAUCCGUCAGAGCAC